UAAGCGGAGGAAAAGAAACCAACAGGGAUUGCCUCAGUAGCGGCGAGUGAAGCGGCAAAAGCUCAAAUUUGAAAUCUGGCGUCUUUGGCGUCCGAGUUGUAAUUUGAAGAAGGUAUCUUUGGGCCCGGCUCUUGUCUAUGUUCCUUGGAACAGGACGUCACAGAGGGUGAGAAUCCCGUGCGAUGAGAUGACCCGGGUCUGUGUAAAGUUCCUUCGACGAGUCGAGUUGUUUGGGAAUGCAGCUCUAAGUGGGUGGUAAAUUCCAUCUAAAGCUAAAUAUUGGCGAGAGACCGAUAGCGAACAAGUACAGUGAUGGAAAGAUGAAAAGAACUUUGAAAAGAGAGUGAAAAAGUACGUGAAAUUGUUGAAAGGGAAGGGCUUGAGAUCAGACUUGGUAUUUUGCAUGCUGCUCUCUCGGGGGCGGCCGCUGCGGUUUACCGGGCCAGCAUCGGUUUGGAGCGGCAGGAUAAUGGCGGAGGAAUGUGGCACGGCUUCUGCUGUGUGUUAUAGCCUCUGACGAUACUGCCAGCCUAGACCGAGGACUGCGGUUUUUACCUAGGAUGUUGGCAUAAU
This 573-nucleotide ribosomal RNA is filed under the name Candida albicans. RNAcentral's name for it is "LSU rRNA". It matches the Rfam family "Eukaryotic large subunit ribosomal RNA", at positions 47 to 635 of the family's 3401-position model. Lineage: Eukaryota; Fungi; Ascomycota; Pichiomycetes; Serinales; Debaryomycetaceae. The record is from RNAcentral.